Molecule: ribosomal RNA, 440 nt
Filed under: uncultured bacterium
Lineage: Bacteria
Description: partial 16S ribosomal RNA
Rfam family: Bacterial small subunit ribosomal RNA
Source: RNAcentral
CCUACGGGAGGCAGCAGUGGGGAAUAUUGCACAAUGGGGGAAACCCUGAUGCAGCGACGCCGCGUGAGUGAAGAAGGCUUUCGGUAUGUAAAGCUCUAUCAGCAGGGAAGAAAAUGACGGUACCUGACUAAGAAGCCGCGGCUAACUACGUACCAGCAGCCGCGGUAAUACGUAGGGGGCAAGCGUUAUCCGGAUGUACUGGGUGUAAAGGGGGCGUAGGCGGCCAGACAAGUCAGAAGUGAAAGCCCAGGGUGCAACCCUUGGACUGCUUUUGAAACUGCCGGGCUGGAGUGCAGGAGAGGUAAGCGGAAUUCCUAGUGUAGCGGUGAAAUGCGUAGAUAUUAGGAGGAACACCAGUGGCGAAGGCGGCUUACUGGACUGUAACUGACGUUGAGGCUCGAAAGCGUGGGGAGCAAACAGGAUUAGAUACCCGGGUAGUC